Long non-coding RNA from Lepisosteus oculatus (spotted gar), 838 nucleotides. RefSeq lists it as uncharacterized. NCBI's taxonomy places the organism in Eukaryota, Metazoa, Chordata, Actinopteri, Semionotiformes, Lepisosteidae. The record is from RefSeq and is a predicted model, not a curated record.
GGGGGGCAGACAGGGCUGGCAAGACAGCUGAGCGACUGGAGCAUUUUCUCAUCCCAACACAGCCAAAGCCCUGCACAGGGGCAUAGACACGAACUCUGGAUGGAGAAAGAAAAGACACCAUAGCGAACCAUAAACAGAGAGAAGUCAGAGGUCAUACAUGUAAAACUUGACUGUUUCAGUCGGGCAGGAACAGAAUGGCAAUCUGAAACAAGCGGGCAAUUCACACAGGAAAGGUUAAGGCUAUCAGGAUCAGCCAGAGAACGCAGUCAAGACCUAAAGCAGCCAGAUACACAACCGCUGAAACACACAGUAUGCAAGCACUGGGAUUUCUGACACUCAGCUGGAGGAGUCUUGACUACAGCGUGCCAUAGGUGGUGUUUAUAUUUCCCAUUGCCGGCUUUACUUCUUUCUUCAAGCCCUGCUUUGUAGCUCUUGCACUGUGAACAGAUAUCAGACUGACACAUAUUCUAACUUGAUCUUGAUGAAAGGAAAAGAGAAGACAUUAUCUUCUGGUUCUCCAUACUUCUCCAUACUAUUAUGACAACAUGGAUGCCGCAGAAGAAAGAUGUGAAAUAUGUAUUUCAAAAGCAUUUAAGGAGCACUAGCACACAAUUACAGAGUACAGCAUUCUUACAGUUCACUAUUCCACUGUUGUGCCACGCAGAGCCAUAUACAGAUCCCUCCCCCAGUCCCUGUGCUAUCAUGUGGGUUUGUGUGACCCUUUCCAGGAAUAAGUGGCUUUCUGAUAAUGGAUGGAUGGAUGUUCAAGGCCUAACAAAACAAAGCUGGAGAGCUUUAUUUUCUCAAUGUUUCGAGCUGAUUAAUUAAAGCACUGAAU